AUUUAUCAGCGCCAGACCGCAUGCCUGUACUGCGGUGACGAGGGAAAGAGUUAUCGAAAAUUCGGCGGAUGCUCUUUCGGUGCCGUUUUUACGGUGUCGUCAGUCUGAUUGUUAAACCCUCUCCGCAAGGGGAGAAACAGAGCUU
RNAcentral lists this non-coding RNA (145 nucleotides) under chicken gut metagenome. RNAcentral's name for it is "glmS glucosamine-6-phosphate activated ribozyme". It matches the Rfam family "glmS glucosamine-6-phosphate activated ribozyme aptamer", at positions 12 to 152 of the family's 167-position model. Rfam says of the family: This entry contains a glucosamine-6-phosphate activated ribozyme that is found in the mRNA for GlmS. GlmS is an enzyme that uses fructose-6-phosphate and glutamine to generate glucosamine-6-phosphate. The ribozyme catalyses self cleavage of the glmS mRNA that is thought to regulate GlmS activity. The record is from RNAcentral.